GAGAACAACUUAAUGGGCCUUAAUGGCCUUUAGUUGAAGCCUAAGAAUUCUCCUACCUCCCCUCCUCGGUGCUGCUGAGCUGCUGAGCAAACCUGCUGCAGACCCAUGAAGGGUGUAUUUUUUUUUCUGGUCACUCAAAGAGAGGCGGUCCAGUUUUAGGAUUGAAUUGGAGGCACAAGUUGGUGACCAUUGCACCCUUCAGUGAUCUUCGGUGAUGUGCAGAGAUAAUGGGUUACAACGACAGACAUUAAUAAGUCUGUUGCAAAGGAAGGGUGAGAUGGAGAAGAGGAAGAUGUGAAAACAGACUUGAGCAGAGUCAGUUAUGAGGGAAGAUGGAGGCCACGGAGCACCAGUCCACGGAGCUGCUUCUUGCCACCCUCACUAAAGUAAUGUUAUCAUUCCAAACAUACAGAGCCACCAUCCCCAAGGACAGAUGCUUUCUAUUUGAGGAUCACCAGCUCUGCAUGUUGAUUUUCGAAGAGAUAAAAAGAGCAUCUGGCCACCGCAGCACAGGCUCACGUCCCCUCCCUCUUCAUUAUGCGCGGAGCAGAUGAGAUUUUUGCUUCAUUCCUACUUCUACAAAUAAAGACAGCA
Acomys russatus (golden spiny mouse) is the source of this 594-nucleotide long non-coding RNA. RefSeq lists it as uncharacterized. The record is from RefSeq and is a predicted model, not a curated record. The transcript has 3 exons. NCBI's taxonomy places the organism in Eukaryota, Metazoa, Chordata, Mammalia, Rodentia, Muridae.